ACCCGCUGAACUUAAGCAUAUCAAUAAGCGGAGGAAAAGAAACCAACAGGGACUGCCCUAGUAACGGCGAGUGAAGCGGCAACAGCUCAAAUUUGAAAUCUGGCUCUUUUAGAGUCCGAGUUGUAAUUUGCAGAGGGCGCUUUGGCUUUGGCAGCGGUCCAAGUUCCUUGGAACAGGACGUCACAGAGGGUGAGAAUCCCGUACGUGGUCGCUGGCUAUUGCCGUGUAAAGCCCCUUCGGCGAGUCGAGUUGUUUGGGAAUGCAGCUCUAAAUGGGAGGUACAUUUCUUCUAAAGCUAAAUAUUGGCCAGAGACCGAUAGCGCACAAGUAGAGUGAUCGAAAGAUGAAAAGCACUUUGGAAAGAGAGUCAAACAGCACGUGAAAUUGUUGAAAGGGAAGCGCUUGCAGCCAGACUUGCUUACAGUUGCUCAUCCGGGCUUUUGCCCGGUGCACUCUUCUGUAGGCAGGCCAGCAUCAGUUUGGGCGGUAGGAUAAAGGUCUCUGUCACGUACCUCUCUUCGGGGAGGCCUUAUAGGGGAGACGACAUACUACCAGCCUGGACUGGGGUCCGCGCAUCUGCUAGGAUGCUGGCGUAAUGGCUGU
This 603-nucleotide ribosomal RNA is filed under the name uncultured fungus. RNAcentral's name for it is "eukaryotic LSU rRNA". It matches the Rfam family "Eukaryotic large subunit ribosomal RNA", at positions 23 to 641 of the family's 3401-position model. The record is from RNAcentral. Lineage: Eukaryota; Fungi.